Phragmites australis (common reed) is the source of this 1465-nucleotide long non-coding RNA. RefSeq lists it as uncharacterized. The record is from RefSeq and is a predicted model, not a curated record. The transcript is spliced from 5 exons. NCBI's taxonomy places the organism in Eukaryota, Viridiplantae, Streptophyta, Magnoliopsida, Poales, Poaceae.
GUACAAGAAGCCAUCUCUUCCAUCUCAACGCCGUCGCGUUCGAAGUCGGUGAGGAUGUCCACGUCGCCUACUUCUUCUGAACCGCCGCUGCCUUCCGCUGCCGCUUGGUAGCGCUGGACUUAGUGCUCUACGACUCCGAUAUGUAGGCGGUGACGUUACCAACCUCCUCCCCGGCACCUCAACUCCAAUCGAACCUAGGAGAACUGGAUGCCGGCCCCUUCCUCCGCUCUCCAACGCCUCCGCCUCCUCCUUGACCUGCUCCUCCAUCGCCUCGGUCACGCCCGCACCCAAGCCUUCCUCCACCGCCAGAAAACAUCUAUGGCUCAGGAUGCUCGGCCCAUUUCUUAUUCAGCUCAUUAUCACAAAAAGUCGCCACGUCUGGACGGUUGCUUCUGCACUGUCAACACCGAUGCUGACUGCAGCCUAUGCAGUUGAUUUUUGCUCGAUAUAGCUGCACUCAGGGGUGGUUUUGUAUACUUUGUGCAGCAGGUCCUCAGCUAAGCCUUAACAAGGGGCUACACUGCGGUGUGCUAUUUUCUAGUAGAAAUAUAAGUGAGAGAAAGCAAGGAAAGAUGGUCAAAUGAUCUUGAUGCAAAAUCUAACGGUUAAUGACAGAUGGCUAGAAAAUCCACAUUCAACAUUGGACUCGUCUGGCUUUGAUUUCUUUCUUUGAACGUUUGGCCUCGGAGUCUUGGCAUACUCAUUAAGAAGAAGAUGAGCACCCGCUUCGAGCUCAAGUGGGCGGAACACUUUAAAGCAUCCGCUACCAAACCAGCCAACGCUCCAUUUCUCCGUGAGCACCAGCGUCAGCGUCGAACUUGGGUUCGAGGGUUCGUGGGCAGGCUGCACAUUUAGCUUUUCAAUAGUCAUCAUUAUUUGACAACAGAGGCAUGGUCAAACGUUUGCAUUAUAUUGGAGACUAGUGGCACUUGUAAACCUAGUGCUUUCAGGUGCUGCAUAUUCUUGGACUAAUGAGUAGGGUACGAUCACUUAUGCGUAAAAUAUACAAUAAAAAGGGUGAAUAAUUGCAGAACCUAAAUUUAAUUUUUCAUUCACCAUAACUAAAUUUUCAGUUUACUCUCAAAAUCAGUUCAGGACAGAUUGCUUUCACAUCACUAAAAUGAUAUACAGAAAGAUCUGUUGUUCAAUUGCCCCUCAAACUUUAAUUGUAAAAACUAGACAACGAUAUAAAACUUAUUCUAAUAAAAAUCAAGACAGUCAGGUCUAUGGAUUAAGAGUUAUAAUUUUCGCAAGUAGAAAUUGGUGGCAAAAAUUUAUUAACCCAAAAAAUUGUGAAUAUGCAAGAAUUAUAAAAAUUCAACCAACCAAAAUUUUCAAAACUUUACUUAGAUGCUCUAGGAUAAUUUUGGAUGCAUCAAACAAAAAUAAAUUGGGUUAACUGAAUGAUCCAUAGAAAAUACACACAAAAUGAAAAAUGAAAAAGCACCGAGAAGGAAUGAAAUCA